Molecule: ribosomal RNA, 492 nt
Filed under: uncultured bacterium
Lineage: Bacteria
Description: partial 16S ribosomal RNA
Rfam family: Bacterial small subunit ribosomal RNA
Source: RNAcentral
AUUGAACGCUGGCGGCAUGCUUUACACAUGCAAGUCGAACGGUAACAGGCCUUCGGGUGCUGACGAGUGGCGAACGGGUGAGUAAUGCAUCGGAACGUGCCCAGAGGUUGGGGAUAACGCAUCGAAAGCUGUGCUAAUACCUCAUGUGAUCUGAGGUUGAAAGCGGGGGACCAGGCAGCAAUGUUUGGCCUCUCGCCUUUGUAGCGGCCGAUGUCAGAUUAGGUAGUUGGUGGGGUAAAGGCCUACCAAGCCGACGAUCUGUAGCUGGUCUGAGAGGACGACCAGCCACACUGGGACUGAGACACGGCCAAGACUCCUACGGGAGGCAGCAGUGGGGAAUAUUGGACAAUGGGCGCAAGCAUGAUCCAGCAAUGCCGCGUGCGGGAAGAAGGACUUCGGGUUGUAAACCGCUUUUGUAAGGAACGAAAAGGCUCUGGCUAAUACAUGGGGCUGAUGACGGUACCGAAAGAAUAAGCACCGGCUAACUACGUG